This 485-nucleotide long non-coding RNA is filed under the name Papio anubis (olive baboon). Its description in RNAcentral is "lncRNA (ENSPANG00000036890.2)". Lineage: Eukaryota; Metazoa; Chordata; Mammalia; Primates; Cercopithecidae. The record is from RNAcentral.
AUGGCGCCCAGCCCUCUGAGCAAUAGUGCAGGUUACCGGCCCGGAAACUGCACAGCUCCAGAGAGCUUCCAGGGCCAAAUCUGCAGUUUGGUUGCUUUCUCCUGCAGUCAAGGUGGGAGUCUUAAAAGCACGGGGAGAAUACGUCUACUCAGCAGGGAGCAAUUUGGGAUGAUGCAAGCAUUCAUAGGAAAUAUGGAGAGGCUUGUUCCUAGAUGUCCCAGGCGAAUCUCCACUUUUACAUCUCGCUUAUGCUGAUCCUUAUGCCUCGAACCUUCUCUUCUCAUCAGAGAGGAUAUCUCUUGUGUUCACCGCUGUUUCUACAGUGCUCAGCAUGGACGCUGGAACAUAGUACGUACUCAGUUAUUAUCCAUUGAGUGAAUGAACAACAAGAAUAACAUUGAACAGGCAGGUUGGUAACAAUUCUUGAACCUUCUUAAAAGCUGAGUUAAAUAGACUGAGUUUUAUUGUUAAGCAAUGGAAAAAAC